CUCAGUUUGCUCUCGACAGCAAAUAUUUAGCAAGGUUCCGUCAGCAGCGGCAAAAAGCCAGCGAGCAGAGGAUGCUGCUUGGAGAGGGAUCAGCUGCUCCUGGUGAUUGCAGGCUGCUGCUGCAGACAUCUGUCCUCGCGCAAAUGAACCCUACCAAGGCUGUCUGAUGACCCAGAGAGAAAUUAGUCAAUUAAUACUCAGCAUCAUCACAAGGUAUGGGCACGAGCACCUUCUGCAGCACAAGCUGUAGCCAUGGAAAAGCAGCUGCCGGGUUUUACAAGCUGAAAUGGGAGCUGGUCUGCAACAAAGGAACUGUGUGUGGGUCCAGCACGCUGGCACAGGCGAG
Gallus gallus (chicken) is the source of this 346-nucleotide long non-coding RNA. The record is from Ensembl. NCBI's taxonomy places the organism in Eukaryota, Metazoa, Chordata, Aves, Galliformes, Phasianidae.